This is a small nuclear RNA of Tupaia belangeri (northern tree shrew), 104 nucleotides long. The record is from Ensembl. Lineage: Eukaryota; Metazoa; Chordata; Mammalia; Scandentia; Tupaiidae.
GUGCUCACUUCAGCAGCAUAUAUACUAAAAUUGGAAAGAUACAGAGGUUAGCACAACCCCUGCACAGGGAUGACAUACAAAUUCGUGAAACACUCCAUAUUUUU